CGCAAUGGGCGAAAGCCUGACGGAGCGACGCCGCGUGAUGGAUGAAGUGCUUUGGUACGUAAACAUCUUUUAUCAGGGACGAAGUUUAUUGACGGUACCUGAUGAAUAAGGGGCUCCUAACUCUGUGCCAGCAGGAGCGGUAAUACAGAGGCCCCAAGCAUUACCCGGAAUCACUGGGCGUAAAGGGUGUCGAGGCGGUUGUAUUAGUCUCCCGUAAAAUCCGUGGGCUUAACCUACGGCCGGCGGGGGAAACGGUACAACUCGAGGGCGCGAGAGGUGCACGGAACUCAUGGUGGAGGGGUGAAAUCCGUUGAUAUCAUGGGGAACACCAAAUGCGAAGGCAGUGCACUGGCGCGUUCCUGGCGCUCACACACGAAAGCCA
This 382-nucleotide ribosomal RNA is filed under the name uncultured organism. Its description in RNAcentral is "bacterial SSU rRNA". It matches the Rfam family "Bacterial small subunit ribosomal RNA", at positions 367 to 762 of the family's 1533-position model. The record is from RNAcentral.